Molecule: long non-coding RNA, 604 nt
Filed under: Brachypodium distachyon (stiff brome)
Lineage: Eukaryota; Viridiplantae; Streptophyta; Magnoliopsida; Poales; Poaceae
Description: long non-coding RNA (BDIS_LNC002756)
Source: RNAcentral
UCUCGCUAACAAGCUAGAUCAAGGAGGAAGCAAUGGGGCACCAGCUGUUCGUCGACGACCCGUUCGCGAGCAGCAUCUCGUCGCUGGAGGCGGAGGCCAUCUUCUCCGGCGCCGGCGGGCAGUGGCGCGGCGGCGGCGGCCUCGACGACCGUGACCUCUCCGCCAUGCCGGCGGCGGCCAACACCUCGUCGGGCGGCUCCGGCUCUCCCGGCGGCGGCGGCAGGAAGAUGAGCCACAACGCGUACGAGCGCGACCGCCGCAAGCAGCUCAACGAGCUCUACUCCUCCCUCCGCUCCCUCCUCCCCGACGCCGACCACACAGUACGAAACCAAUCAAAUCAAAUUCAAACCAUGCCACCAUGGAUCUUUGAUCCUGAUGCAUCUCUGCUUGGAAUCCUGACGCAUCUGGUGAUGAUUUGACUAACUGCAGAAGAAGCUGAGCAUCCCGAUCACGGUGUCGCGGGUGCUAAAGUACAUCCCGGAGCUGCAGAAGGAGGUGGACGGGCUGGAGAGGAAGAAGGAGGAGCUCACGCGCGCCAAUUGCAAGCCGGGAGUGAUCGCCAUGAAGGACCAGAACGUGGCCCCUGUUGUCUCCGCGACCUGCC